This 429-nucleotide ribosomal RNA is filed under the name Bacteroidota bacterium. Its description in RNAcentral is "Bacteroidetes bacterium partial 16S ribosomal RNA". It matches the Rfam family "Bacterial small subunit ribosomal RNA", at positions 355 to 776 of the family's 1533-position model. The record is from RNAcentral. Lineage: Bacteria; Pseudomonadati; Bacteroidota.
UAGGGAAUCUUCCGCAAUGGACGCAAGUCUGACGGAGCAACGCCGCGUGAGUGAAGAAGGAGUUCGGUUCGUAAAACUCUGUUGUUAGAGAAGAACAGCGCAUAGAGUAACUGUUAUGCGUGUGACGGUAUCUAACCAGAAAGCCACGGCUAACUACGUGCCAGCAGCCGCGGUAAUACGUAGGUGGCAAGCGUUGUCCGGAUUUAUUGGGCGUAAAGCGAGCGCAGGCGGUCAAUUAAGUCUGAUGUGAAAGCCCCCGGCUCAACCGGGGAGGGUCAUUGGAAACUGGUUGGCUUGGGUGCAGAAGAGGAGGGUGGAAGUCCAUGUGUAGCGGUGAUAUGCGUAGAUAUAUGGAGGAACGCCAGUGGCGAAGGCGACUCUCUGGUCUGUAACUGACGCUGAGGUUCGAAAGCGUGGGUAGCAAACAGG